ACGGGUGAGUAACACGUAGGCAACCUGCCCUCAAGCUUGGGACAACUACCGGAAACGGUAGCUAAUACCGAAUACUUGUUUUCUUCGCCUGAAGGAAACUGGAAAGACGGAGCAAUCUGUCACUUGGGGAUGGGCCUGCGGCGCAUUAGCUAGUUGGUGAGGUAACGGCUCACCAAGGCGACGAUGCGUAGCCGACCUGAGAGGGUGAUCGGCCACACUGGGACUGAGACACGGCCCAGACUCCUACGGGAGGCAGCAGUAGGGAAUCUUCCGCAAUGGGCGAAAGCCUGACGGAGCAAUGCCGCGUGAGUGAUGAAGGUUUUCGGAUCGUAAAGCUCUGUUGCCAGGGAAGAACGCUUGGGAGAGUAACUGCUCCCAGGGUGACGGUACCUGAGAAGAAAGCCCCGGCUAACUACGUGCCAGCAGCCGCGGUAAUACGUAGGGGGCAAGCGUUGUCCGGAAUUAUUGGGCGUAAAGCGCGCGCAGGCGGUCAUGUAAGUCUGGUGUUUAAUCCCGGGGCUCAACCCCGGAUCGCACUGGAAACUGUGUGACUUGAGUGCAGAAGAGGAGAGUGGAAUU
Molecule: ribosomal RNA, 579 nt
Filed under: uncultured bacterium
Lineage: Bacteria
Description: bacterial SSU rRNA
Rfam family: Bacterial small subunit ribosomal RNA
Source: RNAcentral